GGGCGGAGCAACUGUGGAAGAGGGAAGCUAGUACCGCUUUUGAGCGAGGGAUGCGAUGCAGCGUGGUGCUGCUCGGAGGUGUGCUGCUCAGAGGCCGCCUGAUUGCCUACCUUCCCUGGUAUUCCUUCCGACUGCGGCAAGGGCACUGAGUGGUGGCAACGCCGGCAAGGCUCAGGUAUGGUGUCUAGAGGCAGCGCAGAAGGUGAGCGACACCCUGGCUGGCGGGUCGCGGACUAGAGCUGAACCUGGAGGCUUCGGUCCGACUCGCUGCUCUUGCAACUCAGGCUGCUGAAUUAUGGAACCCUUGACCUCCGGUUCCCCCUCCACUGCGGCGUGUCCGCCUUGGCUCUGCCACCUGCACUCCGUCCUUUGCCGAUCUGUGCGACCACAGCCUUCCCUCUGCCUCCCUCCUUCGCAGGAUUAGCGCCCUCACUGAAAUCACAUAAUUAAGAAGAUUGAGACAGAAAAUGAAGGGAAAGCAAAUGGGCUGAGAAGUUGGAAUAAAGACAGUGCAAAUGGUGAUUAUAGUUUCGAGGACCUGGACAUACAUUUCCAGGAAGAAACCAUGGAUUAAUGAAUUCCAGAGGCAUCUUUGUCAUUUUUCAUGGACAUACAGCUCUAAUGGUGCCUUAAAGACACAGAACUGCUUUAUGCCUGUGGCCAAGAGUGUUGCUAACAGUCUUUAUUUAGAUUCUGCCCAGAAGGAGAAGAGAGGAGAGAAGAACAAGACAGAGGUCAGAGACAGAAAAAUGCUACAGUUGAAGCACAACACCAGAAAUGCAGAGGUUUUGUGGUAUCCACACAGAACUAAUUCUCUCUCACCAUCUUUGCACAGUAACACUAAAAUCAAUGGAGCUCAGCACUUCACUGUUCCGGGGCCUUCAAGCACAAAACACAGUUCUGUUCUUACUCUUAGUGCCAUCGAAACCAUCAGACUGCAACUUCAUUUCAGAUUUCUAUUCUCAUUCAAGCCUGUGUCACAUCUCAGCAUAGAAGUAUGAAUUGGCCAAGUUUGCUAGUACCCUACAAAGUCAAUAUAGUGGAAUCUUUCAGGAAUGGAAAACAAAAAAAUGAAAACAGGCAGGUCUUCCCUUUUUGUACCUGACAUGGGAACAUGCAUGGGUAUUUGCCUUUCUUGCCUAUGUCCUCUCUGCAAGAGGAACGACAGGAACCAGUGAUGUCUGCUUAAAAAGAACAUGGCUACUUAUUUAUAAUAGCCAGAAGCUGGAAAGAACCCAGAUGCCCCUCAACAGAGGAAUAGAUACAGAAAAUGUGGUACAUUUACACAAUGGAGUACUACUCAGCUAUUAAAAAGAAUGAAUUUAUGAAAUUCCUAGCCAAAUGGAUGGACCUGGAGGGCAUCAUCCUGAGUGAGGCAAUAUGUCAAUAUGAGCACACCCAGACACCAGAGCUCUGUCAGAUGGCUGUGGAGGGUGCUGAAUCACCAACAAAGAAUUGUGAGCCUCAGCCAGCUUCCAUCUGCCACCUGUACUUCCAUGUACUACUGCCAACCUUGAAAAGUUCAUGGUUCCCAGACAGCAUCAGACUAGAGCCAACAGUAGCCAUGCGCCAGCAUCUCCAAGAAGCAGGCCAAGUCCAGAGAAAAGCCAACUUCUAAAAGAUUCAUCCUACUACUGAAAAUUCUGAUACCAAAAGGACAAUAGCAAAAGGAUUUCUGGACCUCCAAGUACUAGACGUGGCUCCCACCUUGGCUUAACUGUCCAUGGCAGUGCCAUAACAUCAGCAGGCAGAGUGCAAACAUCACCUGAAGGAGGAAAGAUUGCCCACAUUCAGAAUCACAUUCCUUCCAUGGGUCCCAUAGCAACCAGUUCUGUAAAGUCCCUGCCAGAGCCCCAGAGUCCCUGGGAUGCCUAACAUCCCCUCAGCGUAUAAAACGUUUUUCCAUUUAAAGGCUCCUGAGACUGCAGGACAAUCCUAGAAGGGGCUCACAGUUUUUCACACUUAGAAAAAUUAAGUCUAAGAGGCAGAACUCCCAAGUCCACAAGGCAUGCUGCUUGCUAAGAGGCAUACAGACUAGAACCUCACUAUGGUCCAAAGACAAAGAAGACAGAAUUGGUACCUCCCAUGUGCCUGAGUCCUGGAUGAGUCAGGUGAUCACCCAACAGGAGUUGGUCUACUAAAUCAGUCUUAUCUUUAAGUACAAUAUGCACUAAGAGAAUAUGAUAAGGAAAGGCAAGGGUUUUUUUGCAGCACAUAGCUUUAUUAAGGACCUACAUUAGCUUUCUGCUAUUCCUUACAAUGACUUUAAUAAGAAGCUAUCCCAUGGUCAGCCUAGGACAAAUGUUCUCCAGAUCUCUGGACUUUUUCCUUCCAAGGCCUGUCCUUUGGACCUGAGGCCUGAUAGUAGGGGUAGUGGGUAAUGCCAGGUGUUAUAUGUAUUUCUAAAAGAGGAUGAUAGUUGCCUUUGCAAUACACAAAAUACAUAGAAAGUACGCCAAAACUUCAGAAGUGGGUGACAGAUUCCCAUGCAGUGACUUAUCCAUCCAAAUGAGGUCUAUAGCUUCCCAGGCAGUACUGGCAGUGGGCAAAAGAGGGACAUUGAUCUCUUGCUAUACAGAAAGCAUGUAGAAGAGGUCUAUAUAGUCACAUGUCUCACCCAAGGACUCCAGAAAAUGCCAAUAUAUGCCAAUAUAGUCUCCAAGACAUCUAAAAGAGGUGAUAGAUCUCAAACCACACAGAAGACAUGGAUACAUCCCCAUGCAGUAUCCAAAGCACCCAGAAGAGGGAGAAAAAGCCACAUGCAGUGUGUAAAGCAUCAAAGAAAAAGAGAGUCUAUUGCAUUACCAAGAGAAACUAGAAGAGGGCGACAGAGCAUAAUGCUGUACUCAAAUCAUCCAGAACAGGACAAUACCUUACCACGUAGUACAUUCCAGUAGUAUCUUUAGGUACAUAAUCACAAGUGACCUUGUAUGGUUGAGUGGUAUAGGGACAGGAGAGACCAUGCUGAGUUCCAAAUAGUGAUCUACUGGUGCCCCUAAAAGCAGGACAGCUCUCCUCAAGCUGGGAUCCCAUUCCCAACCACUGUGGCUAGACACAUGUUUCAGGCCAUACUGCAUUCCUACUGGAUCUGGAAUUGCUUAACUUAGCCCAGCCAUGCUGUGCUUGGAGUACAAUUUCAGCUAAUAGCUGAUGUGAUGCAAGUAGGUCCUAGAGUCCCUAGGGCUUAGCAUCACCAGGCUGUGAUUUCCUGUGUCCAAGACACAGGAUGUACCUGAAUGUCUGAGACCUUGGUGUAUGUUCAUGGGGAGUUUCUUCCCCUGGUUUUUGCAAUCAGACAUCCAAGGAAUUUAAUGGAAUCUGCUAAGGAUGCAGUUCAGCAAAAACAUACAAACAAGGACUGUUCACAGAGGACCAAUUGUAUGUGUGCAUGUGCAUGUGUGUGGGUACUGAAGUCUAUAGUGGGGCCUGUUUUGAGGUGAUGCCCGCGCCAUGAGCAGGGAGCCCCACUUUAAGCAGCAGUGCUUUUAUUCCAUGUUGCACAUUGAAAUUCCAUGCCAGUUUAUAUUGCCAUCCUGAAAUUGAGUCUCCUUCCUUGAAGUAUUUACUCUGAGCAUAUGCAUGGCAAUAAGAACCCAUGACUGCGAAUCUGUGUUCUGAAGAUAUAAAUAAGGUGGUAACAGGUUUCAGGUGGGCCAGGACCUGUGGCACAGACUUCCUGGGAACUUUUUAGAGGGGUAGUCUUUCCUUUCAGGCCCAUGAGGGAGUUCUUGAAGCCCUGGAUCCCUUACCAGGGAAAUCUUCUGUGCUGUGCUGGGGUCAGAAUACUAAGUUUAAUAAGCACCAGAAGGUCCGAGUAUAUAGGAGGCAGAAUGUGGCAGCCACUGCAUGGGGGUAGUCCAGGAUAUAGCCUGAAUCCACUUGAUCCUUGAGGCCUGUUUCAUGGAGUAACUUCAGUGACUAGAAGAAUGGGUUAGAUUUAUUUCCUGUACUCAAAGCAGGAAGAAAACGAUGAAAGUCCUCCCAUGCAAUAUGAAAAGCAUCCAGAAGAGGGUGCUAGAUCCUCAGUACCCAAAGUAUCCACAAGAUGGAAUAAGGCAGAUUCCCAUGCAGUAUCAAAAGCAUCCAGAGAGCAUCUUAAGCUCAAUGUUCAGCGUGUGAUGUAGCCCUAGGAACAAAGAGGAGGAGUCUGCCUCUUGAAACCCUCUUCUGAGAGUCAGAGUGAAAUUAAGGAGCUCCUAGCACAGCAGCUGUAGCCUUGACAAUUCCUGCCACUCUGCCAAACAACCUGCUUCCCAGAAGUUCCAAGCGCCUGAAUCCCGUUGCUGGAAGAUGCAGCUCAAGCUCCCUAUUUCAUUUCCUGGACUCACUGUGAAUUCCCCAGGACCAUUAAUUUUAGAGUUCUUUUAAACUAAGACCAAAGGCCAUCUUGUUUCUACCCCUUACUGGUCUCUGUAUGUUCACUGUCCUCUCUUCCAAGAAGCCUGCUCAGUUUUGCAAACAUGUCUAUAGGUGAACCGUAAAGGUACUGAAUGAAUGCUCCAAGAGCAGUUGGAGUCAACUCAACAUUAAUAACAUCACAGACAAUGCCAGGGAACUCCAGGUUAUAAUACAACAUGUUAGGAAGGGACUGUUGAUGUCACACAGGAUAGCUCUUUGCCUUCUUGCUAAGUACCUCACCCAAGUUUACCUGAAGUCAAGGUGCCUUUUCCAGAGAGUGGGAUAGAAUACCUUUUGGUACUCAAAAUACUUAGAAGGUGGCUAUUGAUCCCCUUCCAAUGCCAAACAUCUCCAAAGAGAUCCUUUGGAUCCCCAUGUAAAUCCACAUGUAAUACGCAGACUCCAGAAUAAGAUUAUAGAUGCUAUGCAAUACACAAAGCAUCCAGAAGUGCGUGAAAGAUCCCCUUGCAGUACCAAAAUCAUCCAGAAGAGGUUAAUACAUCUCAAGCCAAUUUCUCUGCUGUGAGGACUGACCUGGACAGAAAGUAAGGUGUCUCCACCAAAGACCAAAGUAUGGUGAAGAUGACCAGGUGUUCUCAUAGAUUUCAUGUCAGAAUUUCAACAUUGCCAGUUGAUGCAGGAGAAAAACUGGGACAUGGAUUUGGUACAUGACCUGAACCUUAUUCUACAGAAAAAAUUUAGCAACACGUGUCAAAAAAUGACUAAUAGCUGUAGGAGAAUAGUGUUACACUCUAAGCAUAACAUCAGUGGACUAUAUUCAAAUUUGGAAAAGGAAAAGGCAAUGAAGAGGGGAUUAUAUAGGAUUGUAGAGAUGGAAAUUUGACAUCUAUUAUGAGACAUUUUCCAGAGAUGCCUCAUGUAGCUGAGAUCUGGGAGUGUACACUAGACUGAGCAGUGUAUCAUAUCUAGGUUUGUCAGAGAUUGGAGAGGUAUUUUACAUAAAUAUUUUAACAUAUCUAUGUCCAGGCCCUACUGGAUGACAUAUACAUUGUAAUCCUUUGUGUCUGGCUUCUUUUAUUUAGCAUUGUUUUUAACAAAGAGUCAUGUGAAUGACAUAUCAAUACCCUGCAGACUAUAUGCUAUGUAAACAACAAACCAAAACCCAAAAAGCUCCAAAUGUAUAGCCCCACAAAUGGUACCUAUUAAUAAAGCCA
RNAcentral lists this long non-coding RNA (5573 nucleotides) under Mus musculus (house mouse). RNAcentral describes it as "predicted gene, 32810 (Gm32810)". The record is from RNAcentral. Lineage: Eukaryota; Metazoa; Chordata; Mammalia; Rodentia; Muridae.